UAUACUCAAACUCCUAUGAGUAUAGUUUCUGGAUGUUGAGUUAAAUGUUAUGAAUAACGUUCAUGGAGUUUAACUUCAAUACAACCGUUGUAUUAUUUCAUCUAUCUAUAUUAUAGCUACCACUGCGUGUUUUGUACACUAAUCACCACCGCAAAGUCUUUACCCCCACUUCUGAUUAUAAUUUCAAAAAUACCACCGUCCUGUUCAACAGGCUUAUAACCAAGCUUCUGCCGAAAGUUUUGAAUGUUGCCGCUGCACUGCAAAGAGUACAAACGAAUUCCAAAAAUUCAAAUUUGAAUGAAUUGAAUUCAAAUAAAAGAAGAUGUCCAGGAUCUCCUUCUUCCUUCUUAUCUUUGUUCAGUUUCUCCUUUUUUAUAUUCAUAAUAUUUUUUUCGUGUUAAACUUUUGUUGAUAAAGUGUUCGAUGAUUUGUCUGAAAGAAAAAAAAUGAUAAAUUUAUCAUUCUUUGUUCUUUCUUUAUAUAUAGUUAUGUUUUGAUUUAUGUAUAUCCACUCUUAGACUUCUGUUUGUUUUGUAGAUAACUUGAACGUUUGGUCGAUACAUGUAUCAGUUACAACCAUAAUUUGCGGAAGUCAUUUGGAAGACAUUGAAAUAAUGUUCUUUGGAGUUGAAGUAGCUCAUAGCCCCAUUGCCAGCAACCUACCCUUCAAACUUCUCGCUCAUUGCCCAAUCCAGCGAGUAUCACCAAUCACGAGCUUGCACUAACACACAAAACAUGUUAAAGCCUAGAUUACAAAGUAAUACUUUACCCAACUGAUCGACGGUUCAACUCAGCAGGAUGGAACCUGCUACAUCUUGAUUAACAUUAAAAAGUUGUUGCACUUGUUCACUCUUCGUCCGAAAAGAACAUAUGCUCCUUUCCCCAGCUUCUACAGCUUCCUCGAUAAGUUUGGAUUCGAAAAUCGAAAUAAAACUUCUCCACUGCUGAUUUCAGGCCGGAGAUGAAGAUAAUUCUUGGCGUUUAUUCACGUUGGAAGACAUGAUACAAGAUCAAGGUGGAGAUAAAAGUAGAGACCGGAGAUGCAAGGGAUGUGACAUUUAUAUAUUAAAUAAACAAAGACAAAUUACAUAUACAAAUUAAUUAUUCAACUUUAUUAAAAUUAUCAUCCAAAUAUGAUAUAAUAAUUUAUUUUUAUAAAGAAGUUAUAAACAAGGCUCAGCAACGUGGGCGUAAAUACUAGUAUAUAUAAGGCUGAUUUUUUUCAAGAAAAAUUGACAACUCACGAUCUUCAAAAAUAAUUAAUUUCUUUACUGAACUUGAUUGCCUACUAUCAUCAUAUUUGUUUAGAGAAUUUAGUUUGAGGUGUAAACUUUCUAUCUUUUGUAAUAAAAAAUUGUAAUUGAUAGUCACUAAAAUUAGCUGGGUUCUAAGAACAAGGAGUUAACCCACUUAGGUAAGAUCGUCAUAAUAAUUCUGAGCUGGAUAAGGUUCAAACAAUAGAAAAAUUCAAGGGGCAGAGCACAAAAAAUUCAGAGGUUCAGGAAAACGUUGCACAAGAAAAUUAGUGUCAAGCUAUUUACGUUUGCUCACGAAAACAUCAAGCUUUCAGUGACCGGGAAAAAGAGAGAUAUAUUAUUAUUCCAUUGUUAUAAUCUCUUUUUUGGGAUUAUACUUCAGUCAUAUUUGAUUAAGUUUUGGCAUGCUUAUUACAAUCCUUAUCUCAAUUACGAAAAUUAAAGUUUUUAUCUAAUUCGCUAAUAAUUUAUAUAAUGAAAAUAUUUAUUAUAACACCUAACAAUAUACAGCAUAUUCUUCAUAUUUGUUAAAAAAUUGAAAUGAAUGUUUUUUUAAUAAUAAUUUCGAGGUGUAACAAAAGAUAUUGUAAAUAUUUAUUUAUAUUUUCUGUUUUUGAGAAUGAUAUAUCAAAACAUAUUUUUUAAAUAAAAUGUUAACACCCAAUCAGAUACAUACUUAUGAAACACUGAAUAAAGGUUCCAACUCAAUAUUUAUCACCUUUUUGGAGUACAAAGAUAAAAGUAAAAGCAUUAAUAAUAAUGUUUGUUUCAGAUAUUUUAGUGAAGAGGUCAAUAUUUACAUGUUUUUUUAACGUUACUCACGCAACUUUCUUAAAAUAAGUGGAAAAAAGUUAUUAUUUUAUUCAUAUUUUUUCCUUCCAUGGACAUAGUCACUAUAUUUUAAAUUUUUAUUUCUGUAUUUUGCUAAUAUGUAAAUAUUAUUGAAAUAGAUACAUUUAUGUAUAUUAUAAAAAAAUUUAAAAUUAUCACUAUAUGACUCGGGUCCAGUUGGGGAACUAUAAUACAAUUAUUUGCAAAUUAAAAAAAGUAAUACAUUAUGCAAAAAACCAAAAUUUAAACGUAUCAUAUAAAAUAUAAAACACAUUAUACAAAAGGAAGAAUAGAUCGCAACUUUAAAACUGAUAACACAGUAUUUUGAUUAAUAAUUUUUUCUUCAUUUAUAUUUAGUAAUAAUGACAUGUUCAACAAUAUAUAAUAGAAAGUAUUAUCAAGCAUAUUAAUCAAUAUUAUUCUGGAUAUAUGUAAUUUGUUCAGAAUAGGGUCAAUUAUUAAAUUUAUAAUGACGUCGAAAAAUGACAUCAACUAAAUCAUUGGUCUCCACGGAAUCUCAUUUGGCUCACUAAAUUGAUUUGAUAGUAUUGAAAUCAUUCUCGUCGUUAAAAAAUUAACAGAAGCACAGAUGAAAUGACAAAUGAAAGAGGCAAUGACAGUUGGCAGGACAUAUAUGUGGCUAGUUUCAAUCUUCUUAGUUUAACGUUAAUCGUUGUAAUUUUUUUGGGGUUAUUUGUACCAAACAAAGACAUGAAAAUAAAUAUAUGUAAUUUUUUAUUUGUUUGUUUUGUAUCUUAACUUUAUCUUAGCUGAUGUAUGCAUUUGAAAAUAAAUGAGGAGAAUGUAACAAAAUAUUUGGAAAUAAAUGUUUGGAAAUAAAUGAAGAUUAGUGUUAAUUAGGCUUGAUUUGAGGAUUAGGGUUCUUCCUGCGGAUGAAUCCUCUCCUUCUCCUUCGAUAUGAAUGUAUCAACAUAUGUGUAAGAAGUGUAACUAUAAAUGAGUUUAUAAUUGAGUUUUUCUGUUUCUUUCUUUCUGAUUUUCUUUGUUUUAAUUUUCUUUGUUUAUUUUAUGUGCAGUCUUUUUAUUACUCUGCCACAUCACCACCUAGUUGAAUCCCCAUUUAACUUUCCCUUAGUUUUCUUUUAAAAGUUAAGGGCGAUGAUGAUUUUGGUACCAUCAAAUCAGUUUAGUGAGCCAAGUGAGACCUUGUAGAGUCUAAUGAUGUAGUUAAUAAUUUUUGUCGACUUCAGUAAUGAGUUUGAUAAUUAACCCAUUUAGAAUAGGGUUUUUGAUACCGUUUUGAGUUCAGUGACCAACUUGAUACAUUAAACCCACUUCAGUGACCAACCAGAUAAUUAACCCUUCAAAAUAGCAAUAUAAUUCAUUCAGGGUAGCAAUUAUUCAUACUAAAAGUGAGAUCCAGUGGAGUUUAGUUAUCAAGUUGAUAUCUUUUGUCGACUUCAAUAAUAAGUUUCAUAAUUAACACGUUCAGAAUAGUAAUAUAGUUCAUCCACAAUAGCAAUUAUUCACGAGUAAUGAGGGACCCGGCACGCGUAGCGAUCAAAAUUCUAUAGAUUUGCUUCUUAUACUGCAAAAUUUGAUAAACAAUUUCAAUAGUUUUCAGUCAAAUACAGUACUUCAAUUGACCCUCCACAGUCCAAGCCACACCAAUGCACAACAAAAAUUAUUAGGAUACACUGUAUUCUUACUACAAUUCUCCAGGCACAAGAUACAGCAAAUGUAGUCUUAUGAAUUAGCAAAAAAAAAAAAAACAUGUAGUCACAUCUUUACAUACAGUAAUUGUAGCGAUACUCCAGAAACAAUUACAAAAACGGCAAUUAUAGUUCCCAUAAUGUCUCAAGGCAUUUUCCAAGUUAAUUCAGAAGAGAACCUUUACACAAAUUUCCAGCAAGUAAUAAAGAUAAACAGAAAUCGGAGAAAAAGUCUAUAAGAAACAAGACCAAAAAUUUCUCCUAGCCAGAUUCAGCAACAAUAAUUAGCAAAGUAAUUAGAAGUGGGCUUCAAAAUAAAUCACUUCUUCCUGGCUCACCAGAUUAUGUAUAUCCAACAAUAAUGGCACAUUAAACCAGGAAUUCACCAUAAUACAUACUAUGUCACCCAGCAAGAAAGUGUCACAAUUGUCCUACUCACUCACUAUGUCC
Molecule: long non-coding RNA, 4210 nt
Organism: Daucus carota subsp. sativus
Lineage: Eukaryota; Viridiplantae; Streptophyta; Magnoliopsida; Apiales; Apiaceae
Exons: 6
Source: RefSeq, a predicted model, not a curated record